Molecule: ribosomal RNA, 595 nt
Filed under: uncultured bacterium
Lineage: Bacteria
Description: partial 16S ribosomal RNA
Rfam family: Bacterial small subunit ribosomal RNA
Source: RNAcentral
UGGGGAAUAUUGGACAAUGGGCGCAAGCCUGAUCCAGCAAUGCCGCGUGUGUGAAGAAGGCCUUCGGGUUGUAAAGCACUUUUAUCAGGAGCGAAACGCUGUCGGCUAAUACCCGGCGGAACUGACGGUACCUGAGGAAUAAGCACCGGCUAACUUCGUGCCAGCAGCCGCGGUAAUACGAAGGGUGCAAGCGUUAAUCGGAAUUACUGGGCGUAAAGCGUGCGUAGGCGGUUUCUUAAGUCUGCUGUGAAAUCCCCGGGCUCAACCUGGGAAUGGCAGUGGAUACUGGGAGGCUAGAGUGUGUCAGAGGGUGGUGGAAAUUCCCGGUGUAGCGGUGAAAUGCGUAGAAGAUCGGGAGGAACAUCAGUGGCGAAGGCGGCCACCUGGGACAAACACUGACGCUGAGGCACGAAAAGCGUGGGGAGCAAAACAGGAUUAGAUACCCUGGUAGUCCACGCCCUAAAACGAUGCGAACUGGAUGUUGGUCUCAACUCGGAGAUCAGUGUCGAAGCUAACGCGUUAAAGUUCGCCGCCUGGGGAGUACGGUCGCAAGACUGAAACUCAAAGGAAUUGACGGGGUCAUAGCUGUUUCCUG